Molecule: ribosomal RNA, 467 nt
Filed under: uncultured bacterium
Lineage: Bacteria
Description: partial 16S ribosomal RNA
Rfam family: Bacterial small subunit ribosomal RNA
Source: RNAcentral
GACGAACGCUGGCGGCGUGCUUAACACAUGCAAGUCGAACGGAAAGGCCCUGCUUUUGUGGGGUGCUCGAGUGGCGAACGGGUGAGUAACACGUGAGUAACCUGCCCUUGACUUUGGGAUAACUUCAGGAAACUGGGGCUAAUACCGGAUAGGAGCUCCUGCUGCAUGGUGGGGGUUGGAAAGUUUCGGCGGUUGGGGAUGGACUCGCGGUUUAUCAGCUUGUUGGUGGGGUAGUGGCUUACCAAGGCUUUGACGGGUAGCCGGCCUGAGAGGGUGACCGGCCACAUUGGGACUGAGAUACGGCCCAGACGCCUACGGGAGGCAGCAGUGGGGAAUAUUGCACAAUGGGCGGAAGCCUGAUGCAGCAACGCCGCGUGCGGGAUGACGGCCUUCGGGUUGUAAACCGCUUUCGCCUGUGACGAAGCGUGAGUGACGGUAAUGGGUAAAGAAGCACCGGCUAACUACGU